RNAcentral lists this transfer RNA (72 nucleotides) under Eremias multiocellata. Its description in RNAcentral is "tRNA-Ile". The record is from RNAcentral. Lineage: Eukaryota; Metazoa; Chordata; Lepidosauria; Squamata; Lacertidae.
GGACGUGUGCCUGAGCACUCAAGGGUUACUUUGAUAGAGUAAAAUACAGGGAAUAGUACCCCCUCACUUCCU